GGGCGUGAAAUGGUUAGUUGAAAAUGAACUGGUGAGGGAUCGUUAUGAACUCAGGAAUUUUUCAAAACGCAGGUUCGAUUCCUGCCACGUCCA
RNAcentral lists this transfer RNA (93 nucleotides) under Colwellia sp. Its description in RNAcentral is "tRNA-OTHER". The record is from RNAcentral. Lineage: Bacteria; Pseudomonadati; Pseudomonadota; Gammaproteobacteria; Alteromonadales; Colwelliaceae. RNAcentral also lists the same sequence under 2 other names.